Molecule: ribosomal RNA, 392 nt
Filed under: uncultured bacterium
Lineage: Bacteria
Description: bacterial SSU rRNA
Rfam family: Bacterial small subunit ribosomal RNA
Source: RNAcentral
GACGAACGCUGGCGGCGUGCUUAACACAUGCAAGUCGAGCGGUAAGGCCCUUUCGGGGGUACGACGAGCGGCGAACGGGUAGAGUAACACGUGGGUGACCUGCCCUCAGCUCUGGGAGUAAGCCUGGGAAACCGGGGUCUAAUACUGGAUAUGACUCCAUGACGCAUGUUGUGGGGUGGAAAGCCUUGUGCGGCUGAGGAUGGGCCCGCGGCCUAUCAGCUUGUUGGUGGGGUGAUGGCCUACCAAGGCGACGACGGGUAGCCGGCCUGAGAGGGCGACCGGCCACACUGGGACUGAGACACGGCCCAGACUCCUACGGGAGGCAGCAGUGGGGAAUCUUGCGCAAUGGGCGAAAGCCUGACGCAGCGACGCCGCGUGAGGGACGACGGCCU